GACGUAGGGGGCCAGCGUUGUUCGGAAUUACUGGGCGUAAAGGGCGCGUAGGCUGUGCUGUAAGUCAGGCGUGAAAGCCCCGGGCUCAACCUGGGAAUUGCGCUUGAUACUGCGGCGCUGGAAGGUGGGAGAGGAUGGCGGAAUUCCCAGUGUAGAGGUGAAAUUCGUAGAUAUUGGGAAGAACACCGGUGGCGAAGGCGGCCAUCUGGCCCACAUUUGACGCUGAGGCGCGAAAGCGUGGGGAGCAAACAGG
Molecule: ribosomal RNA, 253 nt
Filed under: uncultured bacterium
Lineage: Bacteria
Description: partial 16S ribosomal RNA
Rfam family: Bacterial small subunit ribosomal RNA
Source: RNAcentral